RNAcentral lists this ribosomal RNA (484 nucleotides) under uncultured bacterium. Its description in RNAcentral is "partial 16S ribosomal RNA". It matches the Rfam family "Bacterial small subunit ribosomal RNA", at positions 30 to 507 of the family's 1533-position model. The record is from RNAcentral.
AUUGAACGCUGGCGGAAUGCUUUACACAUGCAAGUCGAGCGGCAGCACGGGGGCAACCCUGGUGGCGAGCGGCGAACGGGUGAGUAAUACAUCGGAACAUGCCCAGUCGUGGGGGAUAACACUUCGAAAGAAGUGCUAAUACCGCAUACGUCCUGAGGGAGAAAGCGGGGGAUCGCAAGACCUCGCGCGAUUGGAGUGGCCGAUGUCAGAUUAGCUAGUUGGUGGGGUAAAGGCCUACCAAGGCAACGAUCUGUAGCUGGUCUGAGAGGAUGAUCAGCCACACUGGGACUGAGACACGGCCCAGACUCCUACGGGAGGCAGCAGUGGGGAAUUUUGGACAAUGGGGGCAACCCUGAUCCAGCCAUUCCGCGUGAGUGAAGAAGGCCUUCGGGUUGUAAAGCUCUUUCGGCAGGAACGAAACGGCGAGCUCUAACAUAGCUUGCUAAUGACGGUACCUGAAGAAGAGGCACCGGCUAACUACGUG